AAGUGAUCUGUUGAGAGAUGCAAAAGGAGUGAAACAGCAAAAACUGAGAAAGUUAAUUUCGUCAGGACACCCAGUGACCCAGAAGGAAGGGAUUGUUUUGAUAUCAAAACAAUUCAACCUUCCUGCAGUAAACUAAAGCCUGACAAGAUUCAUUUAAGAGGCUGAUGGAAACAGAAAUAUUGUGUUAGAGACUUCUGUACCAAAUCCAUAUGGAAUUCACCUUUACAACCUACUUGAAUAAGACGUUGAACAGAAGAACCUCAUCUAGUCUCGUCAUCACUCUCAUCUGUGUUGGCUGCAGAGCUAAAGUUGGAAUGUCUGUUGUUCAAUCUCCAACGUGAAAGACCAGUCAUUGGAGAUUCUUUGAAUUCAGACAAUGUUCGAGUCAGAGCUCAUAGAUAUCCUUUACCAGCAGCACUACUACAGAUUAUUGCAACGAAACAAAAGGCUGAAACAACUAAAGGGAAUCUAAUCAUAUUUCUUUUUAUCUUACUCUAAUGAUGCAUUGUUUAAACUAUUUGUGAUUCUGAUUCAGGUGGACCGGCCUCAGAAUUAUUGCUCAUUGAUUGGGCUGAAAGGAUUGAAUGGCAAGGCAUACCAAGCACUUCGAAUACUUUGAUUUCAUUAGGCCUACUUUCAAUUUAAACUUUCAUUUCAUGUAAAUUUUCAAAAGAUGUUGAAUAAAUUGUGUAUUGAAUUA
Molecule: long non-coding RNA, 700 nt
Organism: Daphnia pulex (common water flea)
Lineage: Eukaryota; Metazoa; Arthropoda; Branchiopoda; Diplostraca; Daphniidae
Exons: 3
Source: RefSeq, a predicted model, not a curated record